Molecule: ribosomal RNA, 498 nt
Filed under: uncultured bacterium
Lineage: Bacteria
Description: partial 16S ribosomal RNA
Rfam family: Bacterial small subunit ribosomal RNA
Source: RNAcentral
AUUGAACGCUGGCGGCAUGCCUUACACAUGCAAGUCGAACGGUAACGCGGGGCAACCUGGCGACGAGUGGCGAACGGGUGAGUAAUGCAUCGGAACGUGCCCGGUAGGGGGGGAUAACUGCUCGAAAGAGCAGCUAAUACCGCAUACGACCGGAGGGCGAAAGGGGGGGAUCACAAGAACUCUCGCUAUCGGAGCGGCCGAUGUCGGAUUAGCUAGUUGGUGGGGUAAAGGCCUACCAAGGCGACGAUCCGUAGCUGGUCUGAGAGGACGACCAGCCACACUGGGACUGAGACACGGCCCAGACUCCUACGGGAGGCAGCAGUGGGGAAUUUUGGACAAUGGACGCAAGUCUGAUCCAGCCAUGCCGCGUGCGGGAAGAAGGCCUUCGGGUUGUAAACCGCUUUUGUCAGGGAAGAAAUCUUCUGAGUUAAUACCUCGGGAGGAUGACGGUACCUGAAGAAUAAGCACCGGCUAACUACGUGCCAGCAGCCGCAGUAA